AGUGAACGCUGGCGGUAGGCCUAACACAUGCAAGUCGAACGGCAGCACAGUAAGAGCUUGCUCUUACGGGUGGCGAGUGGCGGACGGGUGAGGAAUACAUCGGAAUCUACUUUUUCGUGGGGGAUAACGUAGGUAAACUUACUCUAAUACCGCAUACGACCUACGGGUGAAAGCAUGGGAUCUUCUGACCUUGCGCGAUUGAAUGAGCCGAUGUCGGAUUAGCUAGUUGGCGGGGUAAAGGCCCACCAAGGCGACGAUCCGUAGCUGGUCUGAGAGGAUGAUCAGCCACACUGGAACUGAGACACGGUCCAGACUCCUACGGGAGGCAGCAGUGGGGAAUAUUGGACAAUGGGCGCAAGCCUGAUCCAGCCAUACCGCGUGGGUGAAGAAGGACUUCGGGUUGUAAAGCCCUUUUGUUGGGAAAGAAAAGCAGCAGGUUAAUACCCCGCUGUUCUGACGGUACCCAAAGAAUAAGCACCGGCUAACUUCGUG
This 492-nucleotide ribosomal RNA is filed under the name uncultured bacterium. RNAcentral describes it as "partial 16S ribosomal RNA". It matches the Rfam family "Bacterial small subunit ribosomal RNA", at positions 29 to 507 of the family's 1533-position model. The record is from RNAcentral.